This 277-nucleotide long non-coding RNA is filed under the name Elaeis guineensis (African oil palm). Its description in RNAcentral is "long non-coding RNA (EGUI_LNC015303)". Lineage: Eukaryota; Viridiplantae; Streptophyta; Magnoliopsida; Arecales; Arecaceae. The record is from RNAcentral.
UAUAUAUAUAUAUAUAUACACACACACACACGUAUGAAGGGGGAAGUGGUGAUGUAGCUAAUUGUUUAGGUUGCUAAUUGCUACAUAUAUAGCAAAAUAUUUUUAAAUUGAAUCCAUAAAAUCUCAAGGCAUGGGCGUUUGUGUGGGUCAACUCAUGUGAAGGUGGGAAGAAGAUUCAUAGGGAGGGAGGGUGGGCAAUUAUGUGUCCUUUGUAUGUUGGUAAUUGAUAUGGGUAUGGGACCCAAAAGGAUGAAGCAGGGUUCACAUGAGUGUGGAC